AUCCAGCUGAAGAGUCGCAAAUAGGUCGAAAUGCGCAUCUUGGAU
Non-coding RNA from Schistosoma rodhaini, 45 nucleotides. The record is from Rfam. Lineage: Eukaryota; Metazoa; Platyhelminthes; Trematoda; Strigeidida; Schistosomatidae.